AGAACUCGGUCUGUGUCUGUGCAGAUUAUGCCGACAAGCCCCUGGAGAAGCCUCUAAAGCUAGUCCUGAAGGUCGGAGGAAGUGAAGUGACUGAACUCUCAGGAUCCGGCCACGACUCCAGUUACUAUGAUGACAGGUCAGACCAUGAGCGAGAGAGGCACAAAGAAAAGAAAAAGAAGAAGAAGAAGAAGUCCGAGAAGGAGAAGCAUCUGGACGAUGAGGAAAGAAGGAAGCGAAAGGAAGAGAAGAAGCGGAAGCGAGAGAGGGAGCACUGUGACACGGAGGGAGAGGCUGACGACUUUGAUCCUGGGAAGAAGGUGGAGGUGGAGCCGCCCCCAGAUCGGCCAGUCCGAGCGUGCCGGACACAGCCAGUUCUCGGUGGAACUUAAAAUGCUGUGAGACACCAGACAGACAGAUACUGUGAACUUGGAGCUCUCUAAUGAAGGGAUACCAAAGUCUUGUAUUCAAUUUUUUUUUCCUUAAAUUGUCAGCCGAAAAUGAGAGCACACCUAUUCAGCAACUCCUGGAACACUUCC
RNAcentral lists this long non-coding RNA (536 nucleotides) under Pan troglodytes (chimpanzee). RNAcentral's name for it is "long non-coding RNA NONPTRT013910". The record is from RNAcentral. Lineage: Eukaryota; Metazoa; Chordata; Mammalia; Primates; Hominidae.